AAAUUGAAGAGUUUGAUCAUGGCUCAGAUUGAACGCUGGCGGCAGGCCUAACACAUGCAAGUCGAACGGUAACAGGAAACAGCUUGCUGUUUCGCUGACGAGUGGCGGACGGGUGAGUAAUGUCUGGGAAACUGCCUGAUGGAGGGGGAUAACUACUGGAAACGGUAGCUAAUACCGCAUAACGUCGCAAGACCAAAGAGGGGGACCCUCGGGCCUCUUGCCAUCGGAUGUGCCCAGAUGGGAUUAGCUUGUUGGUGGGGUAACGGCUCACCAAGGCGACGAU
This 283-nucleotide ribosomal RNA is filed under the name Escherichia coli. RNAcentral's name for it is "partial 16S ribosomal RNA". It matches the Rfam family "Bacterial small subunit ribosomal RNA", at positions 1 to 280 of the family's 1533-position model. The record is from RNAcentral. Lineage: Bacteria; Pseudomonadati; Pseudomonadota; Gammaproteobacteria; Enterobacterales; Enterobacteriaceae.